RNAcentral lists this small RNA (124 nucleotides) under Pseudomonas saudimassiliensis. RNAcentral's name for it is "rpsL_psuedo". The record is from RNAcentral. Lineage: Bacteria; Pseudomonadati; Pseudomonadota; Gammaproteobacteria; Pseudomonadales; Pseudomonadaceae.
CGGCGGGUGCGCUUGACGAUGGGGGGAGGUCUCUAUAGAAUUCCGUACCCCUAAAAUAGGCGGGGCAUUUUGCCCUGCCGUUUUAUUUAAUAUGUCCCAGGGACAUCAGUGGAGUUUUGCUAGA